UGUAAACUGAUGUAAACUCAGAUGAAAAGUAUAAGCAGUGAGUUUAACAGUCCUGAUCCAACUGUAUGUUUGUUUGGUGUCGCCUGGUUACACAUGUUUGCUGCUCUGGCUCAGGUGACUGAACUCAGAUGAGCAGGGGAGGAUUCAGUGUCAUUUCUCAGUCAUCCAGAUCAUCAUGAGAGUUUCUCGAAGACAAAUGAGCUUCUCAUCAAAGAGGCUUUCAAGAGGCUUCCUCAGUUCAAAACCAAAAAGCCUCCUGGAUGAGAUGGUGAAUCAUCUUCAAGAACCAAAAAGACAAGUAAAAGUCUUAGAGUACAAACCUUACUUAAGUAAAAGUAUAUAUGUUUUUUAUCACCAAAACAUAUUUGGAGCACACAAGUAAAAAUAUCCAUUAGAUACCAAAAUGGGAUCUGUCAGUGUUUAGUUUUGUAAUGUGAUGCUACGUUGCUAUACUAGUGGAUUAUUAUUACUGAUGCAUUAAUACCCUCUGAACCCCAAGCAGUUUAUGGGUGUUUUUGGGUCCUGUCACACUUUUACCUGCUGUAGAUUCCACUGCAAUAUAAAGUUGUGACUUCUCUAGAAACAGCACAAUCUCGGCUAAAUGUGAGAGAAUGCAAAAAUGUAUUUUGGGCAGUAAAACAAGUUACAGUGCCACAAAUCAUAAAAAAUAAAAGCUAAAUUUCUUAAUUUAUUUGACAAAAAUUGAAAAAAACCUUCAAUCAACAUGUGAAGCAUAUUUUUCAUGUGUCCACAGGUGUUACCAAACUGUACAGAAAAGUAUUUUAAUGACAUAUUUAAUUAGUUUCUCCUAUCUACUCUGUCUAAACACAGCCUGCAGUCCCAGAAAUCUUGUCAUGUCACAGUUGGUUGGAGGUGAGUCGCUCAGGACUUCACAGUUGCACAGAAGGAGCAUAGAAGUUUUGGUUUAAUUUAAGAAUCUGGUUUGAGCAAGGGGCUGCACAGUGAUGUAGUGGUUAGCACUUUCGCCUUACACCUAGAAGAUCCCCGGUUCGCAUCCCUGCCUCCUCACGUCCCAGGAUCUUUCUGCAUUGAGUUUGCAUGACUCUGGCUUCCAAAAACAUGCUGAGGUUAAUUGGUGAUUUCACAUUGUCCAUCGGUGUGAAUGUGAGUGUGAGUGUUUGUCUCUAUGUGUAGUGCUGUGAUAGACUAGUCCAGGGUGUCCACUGUCUUUGCCCUGAGUCAGCUGGGACACACUCCAGCACCCAUUACCCUAAUGAGGAUUAAGCGGUGUACAGAUAAUGGAUGGAUGGAUGUUUACUAAAAGUACCAAUAAAUGAAUGUAAGAAAUAUUCAUUUUCAAGUACAAUUUCUGCAUCCAAAGCCCCAUUUAGCAAGAAAUACAGAAGUGAUACUAUGGAAGCAAAUCAGACUCAUCAGAUUCUGAAUUUUAAAAGCUGCUGAAUUUCUUACUUUGAAUUUUUUUGCAUCAAAAUUAUAUAUGUGAAUUUUUUAUGCCUGAAUUUAGCUCAUCAAAAUUCUAAAAACCAGUUAAAAAUUCAAUGUCUUCAAAAUUCACCAUCAAAAAAUUCAAUGUUCAAAAUUCACCAUCAAAAAAUUCAAAGUUCAAAAUUCGCUGUCAAAAAAUUCGCUGUUCACAUCCGGGGGACUCAGGCGUAAACAAUCGAUCCUGGCCAAAAUCGAACCAACGCCCAGCCAAUCACGUGGCACUCCUCCGGUCAUGUGACGCAGACGGUUCACCUCACAAGACCGGGGUCAACCACGGCUACCAGCAUGAACGACGGCGCUUCAUAAGGCAGCAUCAGGAGACGAACAUGGAGGAAAUAUGAGAACAGAGAGAACCCAACCAGCAGGUCACAGUUUAUCAUCAUCUAAUCAUCUCCUGAAGUCCAUAUGCACUGGAACACAUCUCCAAAGUUCUGCCGGGCCAGCUCAGCUUCCCCUCAGAAGAAGUGCUGCCACCUGCCAGAUGAAGGAGCCUUUUGAGAGGCAGCUGGCAUCGUGAUUGGACUGUACUUUGGUCUGUUCCAAUCCAGCUUCAGCUCCAGAGACGGCAGGCGGGACGAGUCAACGGAGGCCGGGUGGACGAAGGCAUGCAGCUGAGUACAAUCCAGAAAACAACAGAGGAGGAGUGCAGCGGCCCAGAGCCAGAACAGAGUAGCAUCGUAUGUCUCUUAGAAAACAUCAUAGUAUAGCCUCUGGUAUGAAAAAACACCAUCAUAUACAUCGUAUAUUGUACAAAUAACAAGUCAAAGGAAAGAGACAUACAUUGUAGAAUUGUAGUAAUUGUGGGCUGACUGAUUUACUGAUUAUCAGUAUUUUAUUGUUUUUACUGAUUUAUGGUAAUAAAUACAUUUAAAAAUGGCGCUACUUUGGCUCUGAACCUUUAUCUACCUGUGGUCGCUCUGUCUUCUGGAGUGAUUUGAUUGGUUAUACGUCACGAAUAAAACUCCUUUAACUUAACAUCUGUAAACAAAACAAAAACGUAUCAACAAAGUUUUCUGUUAGAGUUUGUGUUCUUCUAAGUUUAACUCCAAGAUUUUAAAUACUUUCAUUUACUGCAAAUGAAUAUCUACUCCAAAUGUCUCACUAAUAAUCAUUAUCAGCCUUAAAAACCCACAAAACACCCCUCUAUACUCGACCACACUUAGUACAGUCCGGUUCCCCCUUCUAUAAAUCUGCUUGGAAUCUUCCACUUCCUGUUUGUCAAAGUGGCCUUCUACCUGGACAGGUUUUGUUGGAGCUCAUGCAACAAACAUUUUGGGUAACUGCACUUUAAUAUGGAUGGAUGAUACUGAAUUAGAGUCUGUUUUAAUGAGACUGAGUUAAGAUGUGUAGCUCUGUCAUUAAAUAGGAAAUUAUUUCUCAGAAUUCACAGAGAAAAGUCUGAAAUGUUUGCUAGGUUAGCGUCCCACAUGUUCUUUGGCUCAGCUAAAGCUAACUCUCUCCAACUUCUGGAUCUCUUGAGUUGCUUGUUGUUAAAAUAUCUUGCUAGAGGUGCUGAAGCUCAGAAAGUCUGAGGUGUUUGUUCAAAAUAAGCUCAUUCUCAAGUCUGAUCUGAA
Amphiprion ocellaris (clown anemonefish) is the source of this 3041-nucleotide long non-coding RNA. RefSeq lists it as uncharacterized. Lineage: Eukaryota; Metazoa; Chordata; Actinopteri; Pomacentridae. The transcript is spliced from 3 exons. The record is from RefSeq and is a predicted model, not a curated record.